RNAcentral lists this long non-coding RNA (375 nucleotides) under Nicotiana benthamiana. RNAcentral describes it as "long non-coding RNA (NBEN_LNC007804)". The record is from RNAcentral. Lineage: Eukaryota; Viridiplantae; Streptophyta; Magnoliopsida; Solanales; Solanaceae.
GUCACAUUAUGAAGGUCUAGGAGCGGGUAGUCGAGGCGAAGGUGAGGGAGUCGACAUCUGUAUCCGCGAACUAGUUCGGUUUUAUGCCGGGGCGCUCCACUACAGAAGCUAUCCACCUUGUCAGGAAAUUGAUGGAACAGUUCAGGGAUAAGAAGAGGGACCUGCACAUGGUGUUUAUCGAGAGGUUUGGGAGCGGGUGAUCGAGGCGAGGGUGGGGGAGAUGACAGUUAUAUCUGUGAACCAGUUCGGUUUCAUGCCGGUUCGCUCUACUACAUAAGCUAUUCACCUUGUCAGGAGGCUGGUGGAGCAGUUCAGGGAUAAGAAGAAGGACCUGCACAUGGUGCUUAUCGACUUGGAGAAGGCAUAUGACAAGGN